RNAcentral lists this microRNA precursor (119 nucleotides) under Zea mays. Its description in RNAcentral is "miR167f stem-loop (zma-MIR167f)". Its record names the gene zma-MIR167f. The stretch from base 8 to 112 matches the Rfam family "MIR167 microRNA precursor family". Lineage: Eukaryota; Viridiplantae; Streptophyta; Magnoliopsida; Poales; Poaceae. The record is from miRBase by way of RNAcentral.
CGUGCACCUUAUUAAGCAGCUGAAGCUGCCAGCAUGAUCUGAUCUUUCGUUUACUGGCAACUUUGGAUACCUAAGAUCCAGAUCGUGCUGCGCAGUUUCACCUGCUAAUUGGAGCACAG